Molecule: ribosomal RNA, 466 nt
Filed under: uncultured bacterium
Lineage: Bacteria
Description: bacterial SSU rRNA
Rfam family: Bacterial small subunit ribosomal RNA
Source: RNAcentral
UGGCGGCGUGCCUAACACAUGCAAGUCGAGCGAGGAGAUCCUUCGGGAUGAUCCUAGCGGCGGACGGGUGAGUAACACGUGGGCAACCUGCCUCAUAGAGAGGAAUAGCCUUCCGAAAGGGAGAUUAAUACCUCAUAACAUUGCAGUUUCGCAUGGAACAGCAAUUAAAGGAGUAAUCCGCUAUGAGAUGGGCCCGCGGCGCAUUAGCUAGUUGGUGAGGUAAUGGCUCACCAAGGCGACGAUGCGUAGCCGACCUGAGAGGGUGAUCGGCCACAUUGGGACUGAGACACGGCCCAGACUCCUACGGGAGGCAGCAGUGGGGAAUAUUGCACAAUGGGGGAAACCCUGACCUGCCAGCAACGCCGCGUGAGUGAUGACGGCCUUCGGGUUGUAAAGCUCUGUCUUCAGGGACGAUAAUGACGGUACCUGAGGAGGAAGCCACGGCUAACUACGUGCCAGCCGCCGC